Molecule: ribosomal RNA, 497 nt
Filed under: uncultured bacterium
Lineage: Bacteria
Description: partial 16S ribosomal RNA
Rfam family: Bacterial small subunit ribosomal RNA
Source: RNAcentral
GACGAACGCUGGCGGCGUGCCUAAUACAUGCAAGUCGAACGAACGGACCCGGCGCUUGCUUCGCUGUCGUUUGCCGCGGACGGGUGAGACACAUGUGGAUAAUCUUCCUGUAUGACUGAUAUAUUCUCGGGAAACCGGCGCAUAUCCGGGAGGAUCUUUUGCUCCGCAUGGUGGAUAAGAAAGAGUCGGUGUUGCGGUAUCUUCUCGCUGGUUACGCGCUGGAUUAGCUAGUUGGUAAGGUAAAGGGUUAUGAAGGCAAGGAUGCCUAGCCGACUGAAGGGGGUGAUCGGCCACAUUGGAACUGGGACACGGUCCAGGCUCCUACGGGAGGCAGCAGUAGGGAACCUUCGGCAACAGGCGGAAGCCUGACGGAGCAACGCCGAGUGAGUGAUGAAGGUCUUCGGAGCGUAAAACCCUGUUAUUAGGGAAGAACAUAUGUGGAAGUAACUGUGCACAUCUUGACGGUACCUAAUCAGAAAGCCACGGCUAACUACGUG